Molecule: ribosomal RNA, 406 nt
Filed under: uncultured bacterium
Lineage: Bacteria
Description: partial 16S ribosomal RNA
Rfam family: Bacterial small subunit ribosomal RNA
Source: RNAcentral
AUUGAACGCUGGCGGCAGGCCUAACACAUGCAAGUCGAACGAGUGGCGGACGGGUGAGUAAUGUCUGGGAAACUGCCCGAUGGAGGGGGAUAACUCCUGGAAACGGUAGCUAAUACCGCAUACCAUCGGAUGUGCCCAGAUUGGAUUUGCUAGUAGGUUGGGUAACGGCUGACCUAGGCGACGAUCCCUAGCUGGUCUGAGAGGAUGACCAGCCACACUGGAACUGAGACACGGUCCAGACUCCUACGGGAGGCAGAAGUGGGGAAUAUUGCACAAUGGGCGCAAGGCUGAUGCAGCGAUGCCGCGUGUAUGAAGAAGGCCUUGGGGUUGUAAAGUAAUUUCAGCGAGGAGGCGGUACAAGGAGAAGAAGCACCGGCUAACUCCGUGCCAGCAGCCGCGGUAAUAG